GGAGGGGGAGAGACCAGAGAGAGAGACAGCGAGAGAGAAGCAAAGCAAGAUGUUGGCGAUUUUGCGUUGUCUGCACAGACAAGGUGACAAACUUAUCGACUUUGUGAGUACUUUUAAGCCAGCCGGGAAGGUAACCCUACGCUCUCUCUUGUAUGCAUGAUGAUAUCUAUUCAAUUUCAAUAUAUCAAUUCACAAAUAAUAAUAAUAAUAAUAAUAAUAAUAAUAAUAAUAAUAAUAAUAAUAAUAAUAAUAAUAAUAAUAAUAAUAAUAAUAAUAAUAAUAAUCCUGUGUGUUUCAGAUUCUCAAAAAGCACUGGAUAUUGAGACAAGUGGUGGGUUCUGUGCCUUUUGCCGUGGUUCUUUCGCCGGCUAUGGUUGCGAGUGAGCGGGAGGGACGAGCUUGGAUUCGGAGCAAAUU
This 417-nucleotide long non-coding RNA is filed under the name Daucus carota (carrot). Its description in RNAcentral is "long non-coding RNA (DCAR_LNC004555)". The record is from RNAcentral. Lineage: Eukaryota; Viridiplantae; Streptophyta; Magnoliopsida; Apiales; Apiaceae.